Molecule: RNA transcript, 5561 nt
Organism: Stegostoma tigrinum
Lineage: Eukaryota; Metazoa; Chordata; Chondrichthyes; Orectolobiformes; Stegostomatidae
Gene name: zinc finger protein 420-like
Exons: 3
Source: RefSeq, a predicted model, not a curated record
AUCUGGGGCAUGCGCAGUGUCACUUCAAUCAGGAGAGGACUUCAUGGAGCUUGUUUCUCCGGCGGAAGCGAUCAACGGCAGAAAGAGGAGUACGGAACCCUUGUGGGCCGGCAAUGAGCGGAGACAUUUCAUCAAUACUUCGUGUAUGAAAAGAAGUGGAUUUGAAGUCAGGCUACUGAAAUCAGGCAUCGCAGUGUGAUCUGAUGGUGCCAACCAAUUCAUCACAACUAGACUAUCAACAGAUUUUAAACAUGGAAGGAGAAAGCACUGUUCACAGUGGGGAGAACAGAUACAUAUGUUCUGUGUGUAGAGAAGGCUUCAGCCAAUCAAGUGGCCUCAAGAACCACAAGUGCAAUCAUGCUGGGGAGAAACCGUGGAAAUGCGGGUACUGUGAGAAAGGGUUCAGUCACCGUUCUGCACUUGAAAUUCAUCAACGUGUUCACACUGGGGAAAGGCCAUUCAUCUGCUCCCUUUGUGGGAGGGGAUUCACUCAGUUAUCCACUCUGUUGAAACACCAGAGAGUUCACAGUGAGGAGAGACCUUUUAAAUGUCCAGACUGUGGGAAGUAUUUUAAAAGUUCCAGUGAUCUGAUGUCCCAUCGGCGUGUUCACACUGAGGAGAGACCUUAUAAAUGUCCAGACUGUGCGAAAUGUUUUAAAAGUUCCAGUGAGCUGAUGUCCCAUCGGCGUGUUCAUACUGGGGAGAGACGAUUCAGGUGCUCUAACUGUGGGGCUGGCUUCAAGUGGUCAUCUCAACUCACUGUUCACCAGCGCAUCCACACUGGGGAGAGGCCAUUCACCUGCUCUGAAUGUGGAAUUGGAUUCACUCAAUCAUCCCAUCUCAAGUCACAUCAGCAAGUUCAUACUGAAGAGAGACCUUUUAAAUGUACAGACUGUGGGAAGUGCUUUAAAAGUUCCCACUAUCUGCAGUCUCAUCAACGUGUUCACACUGAUGAGAGACCUUUUAAAUGUUCAGAGUGCGGGAAGUGCUUUAAGGGUUCUGGGGAGCUAAUCGUCCACCAACGUGUUCAUACUGACGAGAGACCAUUCAGAUGCUCUCAUUGUGGAAACGGGUUCAAGAGAUCAUCCCAACUCACUCUACACCAGCGUCUUCACACUGGGGAGAGGUCAUUCAUUUGCUCUGAAUGUGGGCAGGUAUUCAUGCGGUUCUCCACUCUGUUGAAGCAUCAGCGAGUUCAUUCUGGGGAGAGACCAUUCACCUGCAUUGAGUGUGGUAAGGGAUUUUGUGAGUCUUUCCACCUUAAGGCACACCAGCGAGUUCACACUGAGGACAGACCCUUCAAAUGUCCAGACUGUGGGAGGAGUUAUAAAAGCUCAGGGGAGCUGAAGUUGCACCAACGUGUUCACACUGAUGACAGACCAUUCAGGUGCUCUCACUGUGGGACUGGGUUCAAGUGGUCAUCUCGUCUCAAUGCACACCAGCGCACUCACACCGGAGAAAGACCGUUCACCUGCUCCGAAUGUGGGAAGAGAUUCACUCAGAAAAUUCACCUGUUGACACACCAGCGGGUUCACACAGGAGAGAGACCUUUUAAGUGUACACACUGUGGGAAGUGCUAUGUAAGAUCCUGGGAUCUGAUACGCCAUCAACACGUUCACUCUAAUGAGAGGCCUUUUCAAUGUCCAGAAUGAGGCAAGUGUUUUAAAAGUUCUGGGAAAUUGAUGCUACAAUGUUCACACCAAUGAGAGACCAUUCAGUGCCCUUACUGUGGGACUGGGUACAGAUGAUCUUCCCAACUCACUGUACACCAGUAUUUUCACAGUGAAGGAAAGCCAUUCAUCUGCACUGAAAGGAUUCCCUCAGAAAUUCCACUUGAUUGGCACACCUGCUGGGACAACUGUGAGUUUGAGUGAUUUCAGGAGUGUGUAUUUUUCUGUUAAUCACAUCCAGGAUAAAAGCAUACUAAAACAUCUAGCCCAGCUUUAUCUGAUAACACUUAAGAUAAAUAUUUGGAUUUUAACUGAACACAGUCUACUGAAUCUAUUUAAUAUCCAAACAAUUCCUUUGAAUAUAAAUCAGAAAACUAGAAGCCCAUGUGAUAUGGGCUGUAAGUAAGAAUAGAUGAUUUCAUUCCACAUGUAAAGUGGGAGCAGCUACUCAGCACAAAUGCUGUGGAGGGUGAAUAUCUGCAGUUCUUACUGAAGUAUUUUUGAAGGACCAAGCAGGAAUCAUAUUGUUUUAGGUUCUGUAAAGUGAAACUGUAAUUUAUAACUUUACUGUUAAGUAGCCUUUGUUGAAUACAGACCAGAAUGUGGAAUAUUCAAUCAAGUUUGGAAAUGAUAUAGUUCAUUCUGGAGUUAGGGUCUCAAACCUGAACAAUGUAAAUAUGAAGACUGGAAUGGCAAGUUGGCUGUGAGGGAUUGGAAAAGCGCAGUGAUUUGAAGGUACACAGGUAGUAAUAGGAUCCAAAGAUGUAUUGUAUGGAUUACAACAAUUAUGCAUUUCCUCAAAUCAAAAAUAGUGGUUUUGAAGGUUGCACAGAAAAGCAAUUAAACUGAGGCAUUUUUAAUCUAACAAAGGAUGAUCAAGAAACUAAUGAAAUAGAUGUAGGGAAGCUCUCAGGAAACAUAAAGGUGGACUGUAGAUGUUGCUUAGGUCCAUGAAUGCAAAAAAUGCAAAAGCCUCCCAGAUUGGCAUCCUCACUAUCAGCUUCAACAUGCACUCCCUCAUCACUGAUGCACAGUUGCAGAAAUGUGUACCAUCUACAAGGUACACUGUAGUAACUCACCAAGGCUCCUCCAACAGAACUUUCUCACAACCUGUCACUGACAAAGACAAAGACAGUACAUGCAUGGGAAUACCACAUCGCAAUUUUGCUGCCAACCCCUCUCCAUCAUAACUUGGGCCAAAUCACCUCCUUUCAAUGUCACAAGGUCAGGAAUACGGAACUCUCUUCUCAACAGCACAGUCAAUGCCUUGAUAGCCCAAAGACUGCAAAUAUUCAAGAAAUCAGAUCACCAGCACCUUUUCCUGGGCAAUUACAUUUAGGCAGUAAAAACUGGCAAAGCCAACAACACUCACAUCUCAUGAAUGAAUAAAAAAAUGAUAGGAGUGAUAUUUCACUGAGCAUUUGUAAAUGAUGUUUCAGGAAAAAUGGAUUAAACUGCUGUUUAUGUUAAGGUCUUUCAAAAUUGUCAUAUAUACAAAAUGUGUUGUUUAUUGAAAAAACAUUGGCAAUAUCAUGUGAAGAUGUUCAGUAUUUAACCACGAUCCUCUCCAAACUUCAAACAUAAAAUUUAUGAUCUAUCAAGCCAGGUUUCACUCAGAGAUCCAGUAAUACCAUCCAGUGGGAUCAUAACAUUUGGAGCAUGACAGUGAUCUAAUUAAAACUUACAUGAUUCUUACAGCGUGGAUGUCGCUCAGAUUUUUCCACUGGCAGGAUGCCAGAAGGGGAUGAUUUGCAGAAAGGAAUCUCAAAACAAACAACAUGUCAACAUGUGAGGAUGGGAGAUAGUGGGAACUGCAGAUGCUGGAGAAUCCAAGAUAACAAAGUGUGAAGCUGGAUGAACACAGCAGGCCAAGCAGCAUCUCAGGAGCACAAAAGCUGACGUUUCGGGCCGAGACCCCUCAUGUGAGGAUUGUGAAUUAAUUAACUAGAGCUUAAAUAGCCAUAAGUGGAGAAACAUACAUCUGUUCUGUCUGUAUUGAAGUUUUUAAACAUCAAUUUAAUUCAAAAAACAGAUGCACACCCUAAAUUAAGAGUCUUUCAGUAAACUGAUUGUGGAAAUAGUUUCAAUCAGUUGCAUGGCCUGAAGAAGCAUUGCAACAUUCUCUGUGAGUAAAGACAUACACAUUUGUGUCUGUGUAUACGGGUGGUGUGAAUUGACUGUUGAACUUUCAGACACACAACCACAUGCUCAAAUGGAGAAACCAUGGAAUCCUAGAAUGCCUACUGUGUGGAAACAGGCAUGUCAGCCUGUCCAAUCACCUAGCCUGCACAUCCCCGGACACUAUGGGCAACUUAACAUGGCCAAUCCGCCUUACUUGUUCUUUGGACUGUGGGAGGAAACCAGAGAACCCAUGCAGACACAGGGAGAAUGUGCAAACUCCACACAAACAGACAGUCACCUGAGCUUGGAAUCAAACCAAGGAUCCUAGUACUGUGAGGCCGCAGUGCUAACCACUGAACCACCUUGCUGACAAGUUUGAAGAUAAUAGGAAAGGAUUCCAUGUGCUGUCAAUACUGGAAUUUCAUCAGCUUGGUCACACCACGUAGUGAGCAGGUGAAAGGCCUCUAUGUGGAAUGGGAUUCCCUGACUUGUGUACCCUAGGGAAACACCAGUGUUCUGCCCCUAGAGAGCUGUUGAGAAUGGGAAGAAAUUCAGAGAAUGUUCAAAUCUGCUGCAAACUUUAAUACCCACAGCCUAUUCAGAUUCCAUGCAUGAACCAGCCGGAUCCCAGACUCAAGCCCGCAAUCUCUAACAAAGCAGAUGUUGAUGCUGCUUUCCCCCCAUUCUAUCCCCAAUAAUUAAAGCUGAAACACCUACAGAGGCUUGACUCGCCUCCUGAUCAUUUAAAAGAUGUGUGAAAAGUGCUAUAACCUGCCUCUCACCCCUUGAUCUGUUCGAAAGGAGUGGUUAAAUGAAAUGAAAUCCUUUCACUCACUCUCUAAUCAACAAAUAACAAUUUAUCUAACUCUAACAGUGAACAAAUUAACAGAACUACUAACAAAUCUAACAAUUCCCCCAACUACACCUAUACCCAAAUAAAACAAAAGUACCCCACCAAUCUACGAGCCAUGUAGCUUCGUCUCCUAAAACGUUAUGUUUCUUGUAGGAGGCUCACCACAUUGAGGAACAAAGUGAUACAAAAAUUUGUCCUGCGCCUUCCAACUGCUGUCAAUGCUGAGGAUAUCUUCAUGGCUGCAGUAUGUGCCACAAACACCAUUUAAGACAAUGAACUCAAACUUAAUGAGAAGGGAAGGGCUCCUUUUUCCUUCCACUUCCCGAGGACACUACAAAGGAAUCCCUGGCACCACCACUUACACAUUUUUGUCCGUUCCUGGAUAUGACUUGAAGUGGUGGAGAAUUCCACCUAUCUAUAGCCAACCACAGUCUGUCUCAGCGACAAAGCAUCACUACCAAAAAGUCCUGAUGGGGAAUGGCAGGGGGGCUGGUGGGGACUUUGUCCACUAGCACCUUGUUUCUCUCAACUUCGUCUAACUCAGUGGUGCUCACAAUCGACACCAGCCCUCCUCCAGGUCAUUGCCUCCGACCCCUGACCCAUCCCUACAUCAAGUGUGGGGGUUAGGCCGGGAUCACUGUAUGGUCCCUGCCAUCCCCAGGAUCAAAGGCAGGAGGAUUCUUUGCAGGGACCAUCUAGGUCUUGGAUUAUAGCAGACUCAACUAAAAUGUUGACUAAAAUGUCAGGCCCCUGGCAACCUACUCGACUCCUGGUGCCAGGCCACCAUGUCUGGGAAAGGAUCCUCAGUAAAGGGCACGGCUGCCUGACAUAAAAGGCCUGUUUCCUUCAUUCCUAUCAUCCAAGGUUCCCUCAAGGUAACUAUCUCCACCACAGUGCAAAGGCAGCAAUGAAAUAAA